UGCCAUUGAAACUGGGAGACUUGAGUAUGUUUGAGGUAGGCGGAAUGCGUGGUGUAGCGGUGAAAUGCAUAGAUAUCACGCAGAACUCCGAUUGCGAAGGCAGCUUGCCAAGCCAUAACUGACACUGAAGCACGAAAGCGUGGGUAUCAAACAGGAUUAGAUACCCUGGUAGUCCACGCAGUAAACGAUGAUUACUAGGAGUUUGCGAUAAAAUGUAAGCUCUACAGCGAAAGCGUUAAGUAAUCCACCUGGGGAGUACGCCGGCAACGGUGAAACUCAAAGGAAUUGACGGGGGCCCGCACAAGCGGAGGAACAUGUGGUUUAAUUCGAUGAUACGCGAGGAACCUUACCCGGGUUUGAACGCAGUCCGACCGCCGAUGAAAGUCGGCUUCUAGCAAUAGCGGAUUGCGAGGUGCUGCAUGGUUGUCGUCAGCUCGUGCCGUGAGGUGUCGGCUUAAGUGCCAUAACGAACGCAACCCUUGCCGUUAGUUACUAACAAGUUAUGUUGAGGACUCUAGCGGGACUGCCAGCGUAAGCUGUGAGGAAGGCGGGGAUGACGUCAAAUCAGCACGGCCCUUACAUCCGGGGCGACACACGUGUUACAAUGGCGUGGACAAAGAGCAGCCACUUGGCGACAAGGAGCUAAUCUCCAAACCACGUCUCAGUUCGGAUCGGAGUCUGCAACUCGACUCCGUGAAGCUGGAUUCGCUAGUAAUCGCGCAUCAGCCAUGGCGCGGUGAAUACGUUCCCGGGCCUUGUACACACCGCCCGUCAAGCCAUGGGAGCCGNNNNUACCUGAAGUCCGUAACCGCGAGGAUCGGCCUAGGGUAAAACUGGUGACUGGGGCUAAGUCGUAACAAGGUAACCA
Molecule: ribosomal RNA, 868 nt
Filed under: uncultured bacterium
Lineage: Bacteria
Description: bacterial SSU rRNA
Rfam family: Bacterial small subunit ribosomal RNA
Source: RNAcentral